GUUAAGCGACUAAGCGUACACGGUGGAUGCCCUGGCAGUCAGAGGCGAUGAAGGGCGUGCUAAUCUGCGAUAAGCGCCGGUAAGGUGAUAUGAACCGUUAUAACCGGCGAUACCCGAAUGGGGAAACCCAGUGUGACUCGUCACACUAUCAUUAACUGAAUCCAUAGGUUAAUGAGGCGAACCGGGGGAACUGAAACAUCUAAGUACCCCGAGGAAAAGAAAUCAACCGAGAUUCCCCCAGUAGCGGCGAGCGAACGGGGAGGAGCCCAGAGCCUGAAUCAGCAUGUGUGUUAGUGGAAGCGUCUGGAAAGGCGCGCGAUACAGGGUGACAGCCCCGUACACAAAAGCGCAUGUGCUGUGAGCUCGAUGAGUAGGGCGGGACACGUGGUAUCCUGUCUGAAUAUGGGGGGACCAUCCUCCAAGGCUAAAUACUCCUGACUGACCGAUAGUGAACCAGUACCGUGAGGGAAAGGCGAAAAGAACCCCGGCGAGGGGAGUGAAAAAGAACCUGAAACCGUGUACGUACAAGCAGUGGG
RNAcentral lists this ribosomal RNA (536 nucleotides) under Salmonella enterica subsp. enterica serovar Muenchen. RNAcentral describes it as "partial 23S ribosomal RNA". It matches the Rfam family "Bacterial large subunit ribosomal RNA", at positions 1 to 577 of the family's 2925-position model. RNAcentral also lists the same sequence under 1 other name. The record is from RNAcentral. Lineage: Bacteria; Pseudomonadati; Pseudomonadota; Gammaproteobacteria; Enterobacterales; Enterobacteriaceae.